This 336-nucleotide ribosomal RNA is filed under the name Hyalomma marginatum. RNAcentral describes it as "partial large subunit ribosomal RNA". Lineage: Eukaryota; Metazoa; Arthropoda; Arachnida; Ixodida; Ixodidae. The record is from RNAcentral.
GAAUGCUAAAAGAAUGGAAAUUUAAAAAAAAACUUUUUUAAAAAUAAAAAUUGAAUUUUUUUUAAUUUGUGCAAAAACAAUUAUACUUAUUAAAGACAAGAAGACCCUAAGAAUUUAAGAUUUUACAAUUAAAAAGUUUUUUUUUUAAAAUCUUGAUUGGGGCGAUCAAAAAAUAUUAAUAACUUUUUAAAAUUUAAAUUGAUCUAUUAUUAAUAAACUAAUGAAUUAAAUACUCUAGGGAUAACAGCGUAAUAAUUUUUGAUAGAUCUUAUUGACAAAAUAGUUUGCGACCUCGAUGUUGGAUUAGGAUUCUUUUUUAAUGAAGAAGUUAAAAAA